GACGAACGCUGGCGGUGUGCUUAACACAUGCAAGUCGAGCGAUGAAGCUCCUUCGGGAGUGGAUUAGCGGCGGACGGGUGAGUAACACGUGGGUAACCUGCCUCAUAGAGGGGAAUAGCCUUUCGAAAGGAAGAUUAAUACCGCAUAAGAUUGUAGUACCGCAUGGUACAGCAAUUAAAGGAGUAGUCCGCUAUGAGAUGGACCCGCGUGGCAUUAGCUAGUUGGUGAGGUAACGGCUCACCAAGGCGACGAGGCGUAGCCGACCUGAGAGGGUGGGCGGCCACAUUGGGGCUGGGACACGGCCCAGAAUCCUACGGGAGGGAGCAGUGGGGAAUAUUGCACAAUGGGGGAAGCCCUGAUGGAGCAACGCCGCGUGAGUGAUGACGGUCUUCGGAUUGUAAAGCUCUGUCUUUAGGGACGAUAAUGACGGUACCUAAGGAGGAAGCCACGGCUAACUACGUGCCAGCCGCCGCCGUAA
RNAcentral lists this ribosomal RNA (478 nucleotides) under uncultured bacterium. RNAcentral's name for it is "partial 16S ribosomal RNA". It matches the Rfam family "Bacterial small subunit ribosomal RNA", at positions 28 to 523 of the family's 1533-position model. The record is from RNAcentral.